CCCUUAGAUGUUCUGGGCCGCACGCGCGCUACACUGAACAGUUCAACAAGUCUUAACCUUGGCCGAUAGGUCUGGGUAAUCUGUGAACGUGCAUCGUGAUAGGGAUAGAUUAUUGCAAUUAUUAAUCUUGAACGAGGAAUUCCUAGUAAACGCAAGUCAUCAGCUUGCAUUGAUUACGUCCCUGCCCUUUGUACACACCGCCCGUCGCACCUACCGAUCGAAGGUAAUGAUGAGCCCUCAGGAUUGUGGCCUCGUCGCGUCAGCGUCUUGGCUGCGAGAAUCUGUGCAAAUCCCUACCUUUAGAGGAAGGUGAAGUCGUANCA
This 323-nucleotide ribosomal RNA is filed under the name uncultured eukaryote. Its description in RNAcentral is "partial 18S ribosomal RNA". It matches the Rfam family "Eukaryotic small subunit ribosomal RNA", at positions 1470 to 1796 of the family's 1831-position model. The record is from RNAcentral.